UGCCAGCACUGGACGGAUCGAGUCUUUUUCGCUGGGGAAGCGUGGUGCUCUUCACUGGGUGCUGCGGGGAACCAGGACGAUUACCUUGAGAAAAAUAGAGUGUUCAAGGCAGGCAUGCAUUGCUUGAAUACGGUAGCAUGGAAUAAUGAAAUAGGACGCUGGUUCUAUUUUGUUGGUUUGAGGACCAAUGUCAUGGUGAAUAGGGACAGUUGGGGGCAUUAGUAUUCCGGCGUCAGAGGUGAAAUUCUUGGAUUGCCGGAAGACUCACUAGUGCGAAAGCAUUUGCCAAGGAUGUUUUCAUUAAUCAAGAACGAAAGUCAGAGUAUCAAAGACGAUCAGAUACCGUCGUAGUUUUGACCAUAAACGAUGCCGACUAGGGAUCGGUGGAAGUCAUAUGAGACUCCAUCGGCACCUUGAGAGAAAUCAAAGUUUUUGGGUUCAGGGGGGAGUAUUGUCGCAAGGCAGAAACUUAAAGGAAUUGACGGAAGGUCACACCAGGAGUGGAGCCUGCGGCUUAAUUUGACUCAACACGGGAAAACUCACCAGGGCAGGACAUGCUAUGGAUUGUCAGAUUGAGAGCUCUUACAUGAUUGCAUUUUUGGUGGUGCAUGGCCGUUCUUAGUUGGUGGAGUGAUUUGUCUGCUUAAUUGCGAUAACGAACGAGACCUCAGCCUGCUAACUAGACGCCCUGUCUCUCGGGACGGGGUGCGCUUCUUAGAGGGACUGCCUA
RNAcentral lists this ribosomal RNA (730 nucleotides) under uncultured eukaryote. RNAcentral's name for it is "bacterial SSU rRNA". It matches the Rfam family "Eukaryotic small subunit ribosomal RNA", at positions 671 to 1426 of the family's 1831-position model. The record is from RNAcentral.